Molecule: non-coding RNA, 279 nt
Organism: Paramuricea clavata
Lineage: Eukaryota; Metazoa; Cnidaria; Anthozoa; Malacalcyonacea; Plexauridae
Source: the annotation of a GenBank genome assembly
GGCAUAAUCAUCUAAGUUGAAUGGUUAUGAUCAUCUCAACCAUUCAACUUGGAUUGUUGUGUCGUUGACUGUCUGCGGCAUGACCACUCAACUUGGAUGGUUAUGCCGUUGACAGCCGGUCUUCGGCAUAACCAUUCAAACAUAUUGAACGGCAUAAUCAUCUAAGUUGAAUGGUUAUGCCGAAUAUAUUCCACUGCAUGCAUAAACAUCUAAGUUGAAUGGUUAUGUCGUUGACUGUCUUCGUCGCGGGCUUACUCAUUCAACUUGGAUUGUUGUGCC